UGUUCAAAGUUUCAUUCAUUUUUACUGUUAAAACUGGGGUAGCUGACAAUAUAACCAUACAUUUACAUGUGGAGGGACCGGUUUUUAACAGUAAAAAUAGAUGAUAUUUUUAACA
Molecule: non-coding RNA, 115 nt
Organism: Gossypium hirsutum (cotton)
Lineage: Eukaryota; Viridiplantae; Streptophyta; Magnoliopsida; Malvales; Malvaceae
Source: Rfam